This 442-nucleotide long non-coding RNA is filed under the name Ornithorhynchus anatinus (platypus). RNAcentral describes it as "lncRNA (ENSOANG00000048870.1)". Lineage: Eukaryota; Metazoa; Chordata; Mammalia; Monotremata; Ornithorhynchidae. The record is from RNAcentral.
CCCCGCCCUCUUCUCCCCUCCUCCCCCCGUCCCCGUCCCCGUCCCCGUCGGUCUGUCUGUCGGUCGGCGGGUCCCUCCCCGGGGCGGGGCCGGGCCGCUGUCAGCUUAGGUUGAGGCCCCCCUGCGUGUGUCUAUAACUUUGUGUUGCUGCCGCCGCGGCCGCUGGUUGGUAGGAAGAGGAAUGUGGAAGAAGAAGGCGGCGUUGUCGGCGUUGUCGGGGAGGGUGGCAGCCGGCGGGCAGUUGGGCGGGCGGGGAGCGGGCGGGGAGCGGCCGGCAGCCGGCGGCCCUCGGUAGGCCGACCCCUGGCGCGCCCGGCUCGCAGGACCUGCGGGUCUUCGCCUUCUCCGCCGCCCCCCGGGAGGGAAGCCGCUGAGGGUUCCCGGAGGAUCUGAGCGAAGGGAAACGGCUGUCAAGAUGGCAGCAGUAGGAGCAGCGUCGGAG